This 497-nucleotide ribosomal RNA is filed under the name uncultured bacterium. RNAcentral describes it as "partial 16S ribosomal RNA". It matches the Rfam family "Bacterial small subunit ribosomal RNA", at positions 28 to 507 of the family's 1533-position model. The record is from RNAcentral.
GAUGAACGCUGGCGGCGUGCCUAAUACAUGCAAGUCGAGCGAACAGACGCGGAGCUUGCCUCUCUGACGUUAGCGGCGGACGUGAGAGUAACACGUGGAUAACCUAGCUAUAAGACUGUGAUAACUUCGGGAAACCGUACCUAAUACCGGCUAAUAUAUUGAACCGCAUGGUUUAAUAGUUCAAGACGGUUUUGCUGUCACUUAUAGAUUGAUCCGCGCCGCAUUAGCUAGUUGGUAAGGUAACGGCUUACCAAGGCAACGAUGCGUAGCCGACCUGAGAGGACGAUCAGCCACACUGGGACUGAGACACGGUCCAGACUCCUACGGGAGGCAGCAGUAGGGAAUCUUGGACAAUGGGCGCAAGCCUGAUCCAGCAAUGCCGCGUGAAUGAAGAAGGUCUUCGGGUUGUAAAAUGCUGUUGUUAGGAAAGAAACGGUGUGGGUGAAUACACGGGGGUAAUGACGGUACCGAAAGAAUAAGCCCCGGCUAACUACGUG